AGCAGGGUAGAGCAGUCUGGUAGCUCGUGGGGCUCAUAACCCCAAGGUCGCAGGUUCGAAUCCUGCCUCUGCAA
RNAcentral lists this transfer RNA (74 nucleotides) under Phacotus lenticularis. Its description in RNAcentral is "tRNA-Met". It matches the Rfam family "tRNA". Rfam says of the family: Transfer RNA (tRNA) molecules are approximately 80 nucleotides in length. Their secondary structure includes four short double-helical elements and three loops (D, anti-codon, and T loops). Further hydrogen bonds mediate the characteristic L-shaped molecular structure. tRNAs have two regions of fundamental functional importance: the anti-codon, which is responsible for specific mRNA codon recognition, and the 3' end, to which the tRNAs corresponding amino acid is attached (by aminoacyl-tRNA synthetases). tRNAs cope with the degeneracy of the genetic code in two manners: having more than one tRNA (with a specific anti-codon) for a particular amino acid; and 'wobble' base-pairing, i.e. permitting non-standard base-pairing at the 3rd anti-codon position. Lineage: Eukaryota; Viridiplantae; Chlorophyta; Chlorophyceae; Chlamydomonadales; Phacotaceae. The record is from RNAcentral.